RNAcentral lists this ribosomal RNA (1518 nucleotides) under uncultured Actinomycetes bacterium. RNAcentral describes it as "uncultured actinobacterium partial 16S ribosomal RNA". It matches the Rfam family "Bacterial small subunit ribosomal RNA". Lineage: Bacteria; Bacillati; Actinomycetota; Actinomycetes. The record is from RNAcentral.
AGAGUUUGAUCCUGGCUCAGGAUGAACGCUGGCGGCGUGCCUAAUACAUGCAAGUCGAGCGGACUUGAUGGGAGCUUGCUCCCUGAUAGUCAGCGGCGGACGGGUGAGUAACACGUGGGCAACCUACCUUUAAGACUGGGAUAACUUCGGGAAACCGGAGCUAAUACCGGAUAACAUGUAAGACCACAUGGUCUUACAUUAAAAGAUGGCUUCGGCUAUCACUUAUAGAUGGGCCCGCGGCGCAUUAGUUAGUUGGUGAGGUAAUGGCUCACCAAGGCGACGAUGCGUAGCCGACCUGAGAGGGUGAUCGGCCACACUGGGACUGAGACACGGCCCAGACUCCUACGGGAGGCAGCAGUAGGGAAUCUUCCGCAAUGGACGAAAGUCUGACGGAGCAACGCCGCGCGAACGAUGAAGGCUUUCGGGUCGUAAAGUUCUGUUGUUAGGGAAGAACAAGUUGGAGAGUAACUGCUCCAGCCUUGACGGUAUCUGACCAGAAAGCCACGGCUAACUACGUGCCAGCAGCCGCGGUAAUACGUAGGUGGCAGGCGUUGUCCGGGAUUUAUUGGGCGUAAAGCGAGCGCAGGCGGUUCCUUAAGUCUGAUGUGAAAGCCCACGGCUCAACCGUGGAAGGUCAUUGGAAACUGGGGAACUUGAGUGCAGAAGAGGAGAGUGGAAUUCCAUGUGUAGCGGUGAAAUGCGCAGAUAUCAGGAGGAACACCGAUGGCGAAGGCAGGUCACUGGGCCACUACUGACGCUGAGGAGCGAAAGCAUGGGGAGCGAACAGGAUUAGAUACCCUGGUAGUCCAUGCCGUAAACGUUGGGCACUAGGUGUGGGGCUCAUUCCACGAGUUCCGCGCCGCAGCUAACGCAUUAAGUGCCCCGCCUGGGGAGUACGGCCGCAAGGCUAAAACUCAAAGGAAUUGACGGGGGCCCGCACAAGCGGCGGAGCAUGCGGAUUAAUUCGAUGCAACGCGAAGAACCUUACCAAGGCUUGACAUACACCGGAAUCAUGCAGAGAUGUGUGCGUCUUCGGACUGGUGUACAGGUGGUGCAUGGUUGUCGUCAGCUCGUGUCGUGAGAUGUUGGGUUAAGUCCCGCAACGAGCGCAACCCUCGUCCUAUGUUGCCAGCACGUCAUGGUGGGGACUCAUAGGAGACUGCCGGGGUCAACUCGGAGGAAGGUGGGGAUGACGUCAAAUCAUCAUGCCCCUUAUGUCUUGGGCUUCACGCAUGCUACAAUGGCCGGUACAAAGGGCUGCGAUACCGCGAGGUGGAGCGAAUCCCAAAAAGCCGGUCUCAGUUCGGAUUGGGGUCUGCAACUCGACCCCAUGAAGUCGGAGUCGCUAGUAAUCGCAGAUCAGCAACGCUGCGGUGAAUACGUUCCCGGGCCUUGUACACACCGCCCGUCAAGUCACGAAAGUCGGUAACACCCGAAGCCAGUGGCCCAACUCGCAAGAGAGGGAGCUGUCGAAGGUGGGACCAGCGAUUGGGACUAAGUCGUAACAAGGUAACCGUA